RNAcentral lists this ribosomal RNA (550 nucleotides) under uncultured bacterium. RNAcentral describes it as "bacterial SSU rRNA". It matches the Rfam family "Bacterial small subunit ribosomal RNA", at positions 841 to 1397 of the family's 1533-position model. The record is from RNAcentral.
CCGUGCCGGAGUUAACACAAUAAGUAAUCCACCUGGGGAGUACGACCGCAAGGUUGAAACUCAAAGGAAUUGACGGGGGCCCGCACAAGCAGUGGAGUAUGUGGUUUAAUUCGAAGCAACGCGAAGAACCUUACCAGGUCUUGACAUCGAGCGACGAACUUAGAGAUAAGUUCUUCCUUCGGGACGCGAAGACAGGUGGUGCAUGGUUGUCGUCAGCUCGUGUCGUGAGAUGUUGGGUUAAGUCCCGCAACGAGCGCAACCCUUAUCAUUAGUUGCUACGCAAGAGCACUCUAAUGAGACUGCCGUUGAUAAAACGGAGGAAGGUGGGGAUGACGUCAAAUCAUCAUGCCCAUUAUGACUUGGGCUACACACGUACUACAAUGGUGAUCAAACAGAGGGAAGCGAAGCCGCGAGGCAGAGCAAACCCCAGAAACCCGAUCUCAGUUCGGAUCGCAGGCGGCAACCCGCCUGCGUGAAGUCGGAAUCGCUAGUAAUCGCAGGUCAGCAUACUGCGGUGAAUACGUUCCCGGGUCUUGUACACACCGCCCGU